RNAcentral lists this non-coding RNA (25 nucleotides) under Rattus norvegicus (Norway rat). The record is from RNAcentral. Lineage: Eukaryota; Metazoa; Chordata; Mammalia; Rodentia; Muridae.
GGCUCUCCACGAGUUCAUGAAGUCU